GCUGAAGCUGCGGCAGAUACUGCAGAAGGUGUGGACAAUACGACUGCACAGACUGCAGAUGCACAGCCAACCGACACAUCAGCUGGGGAGACUGAACCUCCUACAGCAACAAGUGAUGUCCCUCUAUCCCAGUUAUCUGUUGCAGAUCUCCCUGAGGAUGCUCCAGUCAAUGUUACCAUCACAGUCACUGCUACUCCAUAAAUUCUACGGAAGGACUGAAUUUCUAUUCUAGGACAAUUUAGACAACCACCACCAUCACCACUUUUUGAACACUUUUUGGAUUUUUAAAUAUUUCUAUACAAAUGUUUUAAACUCACAAAGGUAUUAUAUUAACAUAUGAACUUCUUGCAAAGCCCAGACUGUGAAGUAGCAAGUUGGUUAAUUAAUAUUAUAUCAGAAACCCAUAAGUAACAAGAGUUAUGCCUACCAGAAGAACAUCGUUAUGGACAGAUUGACUCAUUACUGUUUCAUUGCAAGCUCAUGUCAUGUUUGCAAUUAACCCUUUCCUAUCAUUAUGUAUUUAUUUUUAAUUAUAAUGUUUAAUUAUCCUAAUCCUUCUAGAUCUGUCUGCAACCUUUGAUACUGUUGACCACCCUCUUUUACUCCAAACCCUCCAAUCCUUCGGGAUUUGUGACACAGCCCUCUCGUGGUUCUCUUCCUACCUGUCUAACUGUACCUUUAGUGCAGCCUUCUCUGGUGCAUCCUCUGCCCCUUUACCCCUUUCUGUUGGUCCCCUUCUCUUCUCAAUCUAUACGUCAUCAUUAGGUUCCUUAAUAGAGUCCCAUGGGUUUCAAUAUCAUUUGUAUGCUGGUGACACCAAAAUAUAGCUCUCUGAGUCUGCACCAGACCUAUCUCCUUCCUUGCUAACUCGUGUCACUAUCUUUCUCAUAUCUCAUCCUCGAUGUCCUCUCACUACCUUAAGCUAAAUCUCUCCAAAACUGAGCUCCUUAUUUUCUACCCUUCUUCCAAAAUCUCCACCCCCCAUUUUUCUAUAACUGUUGAUAACUUCAUUAUUACCCCAACUCUGCAUGGCCAAUGUUUUGGGUUCACACUUGACUCUUGAUCUUGAUAUCUUCUUUCACUCCUCACAUUUAGUCUUUGGCCAAUUCCUGCCGCUUCCACCUUAAAAACAUCUCUAAUAUUCGACAUUUCCUUACACAAGACACAACUGAGAUUUUUAACCCACUCUCUCAUCCUUUCCUGCCUUAACUAUUGCAGCUACUACCUCUCUGGUCGCCCUAUCUGCCAUCUAGCUCCUUUACAAUCUAUAGUGAAUACCUUUGCCAGGCUUGUCUUCCUUUCACGUCGAUCUUCAUCUGCUGCACGAAAUUCUGUCUCUGACAUACAAGGCCCUCAACUGCACUGCUCCCCCCUAUAUCUCAGACCUUGUCUCCAGGGAUUCUCCCUCCUGCCCUCUUCACUCUGCUCAAGACCUCCUCCUCUACUCCUCUCUUGUUACCUACUUACAUUCUUGUCUACAGGACUUCUCCAAACUGGACCCUAUCUUGUGGAACUCUCUGCCUUGCUCCACAAGACUCCCCCCCCCCCCCUAAUUUUGAAAGUUUCAAACGCUCCCUAAAGACUCUACUGUUCAGGGAUGCAUACAACCUACACUAACCUUUUCUAACCCCAGUUCCUCUCCUCCUUUGUUUUCCCCUUGAACCCCCUUAGCUUGUAAGCCUAUGAGCCCAGCUGUUUGCAGAUCACUUUCAUAAGAGCUGACUACAACAGUACGUAUCAUACCUCUGUUUAUAGCGCUAUGGAAUCUGUUGGCACUCUACGAAUAACUGAUGAUAACAAUAAUAAUAAUAUCUAAACAUGAUUGCAAUCAUGAACAAACAUUCUGAUGAUUAUAAUUUAUAAUUGUUUUAAUGUAUAUAUUAACGUAUUUAAUUAUAUAAAAGUGUGAUUUCAUUACUGUUUUAACAUUUUAAUAAAAUCAGAAAAUGAUAGUGUUUGCCAAUGACCUGGGGAGUAAAAAUAUGAGAGGAAGAGGGAUAACACGGAGUAAAGAGAAGGACAAUAUAGAUAGCAGUGGUGGAUGAAAAUAAUUCAUAAACUAGAAAAAUUUUAACAAUA
Molecule: long non-coding RNA, 2079 nt
Organism: Bombina bombina (fire-bellied toad)
Lineage: Eukaryota; Metazoa; Chordata; Amphibia; Anura; Bombinatoridae
Exons: 2
Source: RefSeq, a predicted model, not a curated record